UGGGGAAUUUUGCACAAUGGGGGAAACCCUGAUGCAGCGACGCCGCGUGAUUUAGAAGGCCUUCGGGUUGUAAAAAUCUUUUCUAUGGGAAGAAAAUGACAGUACCAUAAGAAUAAGGUCCGGCUAAAUACGUGCCAGCAGCCGCGGUAAUACGUAUGGACCGAGCGUUGUCCGGAAUCAUUGGGCGUAAAGGGUACGUAGGCGGCCCAGUAAGUUAGAAGUGAAAUAAUAUAGCUCAACUAUAUAAAGCUUUUAAAACUGCUAGGCUUGAGAGAUGGAAGGGAAAGUGGAAUUCCUAGUGUAGCGGUGAAAUGCGCAGAUAUUAGGAAGAAUACCGGUGGCGAAGGCGACUUUCUGGUCAUCAUCUGACGCUGAGGUACGAAAGCGUGGGUAGCAAACAGG
RNAcentral lists this ribosomal RNA (402 nucleotides) under Bacteroidota bacterium. RNAcentral's name for it is "Bacteroidetes bacterium partial 16S ribosomal RNA". It matches the Rfam family "Bacterial small subunit ribosomal RNA", at positions 355 to 776 of the family's 1533-position model. The record is from RNAcentral. Lineage: Bacteria; Pseudomonadati; Bacteroidota.